This 245-nucleotide ribosomal RNA is filed under the name uncultured bacterium. RNAcentral describes it as "partial 16S ribosomal RNA". It matches the Rfam family "Bacterial small subunit ribosomal RNA", at positions 524 to 768 of the family's 1533-position model. The record is from RNAcentral.
UACGGUGAGUGCAAGCGUUGCUCGGAAUCACUGGGCAUAAAGGGUGCGUAGGCGGCUUAUUAAGUCAGGUGUGAAAUCCCCCGGCUCAACCGGGGAACUGCUCCUGAUACUGGUAGGCUUGAGGGUAUGAGGGGAGAGCGGAACUCCAGGUGUAGCGGUGGAAUGCGUAGAUAUCUGGGGGAAGGCCGGCGGCGAAGGCGGCUCUCUGGUAUACCUCUGACGCUGAGGCACGAAAGCGUGGGGAG